Molecule: ribosomal RNA, 532 nt
Filed under: Macrophomina phaseolina
Lineage: Eukaryota; Fungi; Ascomycota; Dothideomycetes; Botryosphaeriales; Botryosphaeriaceae
Description: eukaryotic LSU rRNA
Rfam family: 5.8S ribosomal RNA (bases 184-337)
Source: RNAcentral
UACUCCGAGUUGAUUCGGGCUCCGUCCCGAUCCUCCCACCCUUUGUAUACCUACCAGACUUGCUUUGGCGGGCCGCGGUCUUCCGCGGCCGCCCCCCGAUUUUGGGGGGUGGCUAGUGCCGCCAGAGGACUAUCAAACUCCAGUCAGUAAACGUUGCAGUCUGAAAAAAAUAUUAAAUACUAAAACUUUCAACAACGGAUCUCUUGGUUCUGGCAUCGAUGAACAACGCAUGCGAAAGCGUAUAAGUAAUGUGAAUUGCAGAAUUCAGUGAAUCAUCGCAAUCUUUGAACGCACUGCGCCCCUUGGUAUUCCGGGGGGCAUGCCUGUUCGAGCGUCAUUUCAACCCUCAAGCUCGCUUGGUAUUGGGCACCGUCCUUUGCGGGCGCGCCUCAAAGACCUCGGCGGUGGCGUCUCUCAAGCGUAGUAGAAUACACCUCGCUUCGGAGCGUAAGGCGUCGCCCGCCGGACGACCUUCUGAACUUUUCUCAAGGUUGACCUCGGAUCAGGUAGGGAUACCCGCUGAAGCAUAUCA